This 916-nucleotide ribosomal RNA is filed under the name uncultured archaeon. Its description in RNAcentral is "bacterial SSU rRNA". It matches the Rfam family "Archaeal small subunit ribosomal RNA", at positions 1 to 923 of the family's 1478-position model. The record is from RNAcentral.
UCCGGUUGAUCCUGCCRGACCCGACUGCUAUCAGAGUGAGAUUAAGCCAUGCGAGUCAACGUAGCAAUACGUGGCACACGGCUCAGUAACACGUAGUCAACAUAACCAAAGGACGUGGAUAAACUCGGGAAACUGAGGCUAAACCGCGAUAGACCAAUAUACCUGGAAUGGUUUUUGAUUAAAAUCUAUACGGCCUUUGGAUUGGACUGCGGCCGAUCAGGCUGUUGGUGAGGUAAUGGCCCACCAAACCUGUUACCGGUACGGGCUUUGAGAGAAGGAGCCCGGAGAUGGGCACUGAGACAAGGGCCCAGGCCCUAUGGGGCGCAGCAGGCGCGAAACCUCUGCAAUAGGCGAAAGCCUGACAGGGUUACUCUGAGUGAUGCCCGCUAAGGGCAUCUUUUGGCACCUCUAAAAAUGGUGCAGGAUAAGGGGUGGGCAAGUCUGGUGUCAGCCGCCGCGGUAAUACCAGCACCCCGAGUAGUCGGGACGAUUAUUGGGCCUAAAGCAUCCGUAGCCGGUUCUGCAAGUCCUCCGUUAAAUCCACCUGCUCAACAGAUGGGCUGCGGGGGAUACUACAGCGCUAGGAGGCGGGAGAGGCAAACGGUACUCAGUGGGUAGGGGUAAAAUCCUUUGAUCUACUGAAGACCACCAGUGGCGAAGGCGGUUUGCCAGAACGCGCUCGACGGUGAGGGAUGAAAGCUGGGGGAGCAAACCGGAUUAGAUACCCGGGUAGUCCCAGCUGUAAACGAUGCAGACUCGGUGAUGGGUUGGCUUCGAGCCCAACCCAGUGCCCGCAGGGAAGCCGUUAAGUCUGCCGCCUGGGGGAGUACGGUCGCAAGACUGAAACUUAAAGGAAUUGGCGGGGGAGCACCCCAAGGGGGUGAAGCCUGCGGUUCAAUUGGAUUCAACGCCGGRA